RNAcentral lists this ribosomal RNA (253 nucleotides) under uncultured bacterium. RNAcentral describes it as "partial 16S ribosomal RNA". It matches the Rfam family "Bacterial small subunit ribosomal RNA", at positions 524 to 776 of the family's 1533-position model. The record is from RNAcentral.
UACGUAGGAUGCAAGCGUUGUUCGGAAUUACUGGGCGUAAAGAGUACGUAGGCGGUUUGAUAAGUCUGCUAUUAAAGACUGGAGCUUAACUCCAGGACUGUAGUGGAAACUGUCAGACUAGAGGACAAUAGAGGAAGUCGGAAUUCUCAGUGUAGCGGUGAAAUGCGUAGAUAUUGGGAAGAACACCAGUGGCGAAAGCGGACUUCUGGGUUGUUACUGACGCUGAGGUACGAAAGCAUGGGGAGCAAACGGG